AAGUGAAAGUAGAAACCCUUUAUAGCAGUUUGGCGUUUUUGUAUGUUGAGAUCGUUAUCAAGUCGAUUCUUUCAUCAACUUAAUGACAAAUGUUUGUUUUUAUGGCCUAUAGAUGCAUUCAACAACUUGAGUUCAGUGACACCGUGCUGCUUUUUAUUAAGUCCAAGAUGCCCAAAGCUGAUAAGACUGGCGAUUGAUCCUUAAGUGAUUUUGACAGACGAUUGCAUCAUCACAAUAUUAAAGGUUCAACAUACAGUCAGCCUCUCAUAAGAAAAAAAUCCAAAGAUCCAAGGCUAAUGGCUUGCUUCAAAGUUAAGAGACCAUUCUGUGCCACAAAGAAAUUGUUCCGGAAGUGGAGAACUGGUGGAUUUGCAUUUUUGGUACAAUUCAAAGGGAUUCUCAAAAUGGUCAGAUCAGAGGGAGGACAACUUAAAAUAUUGAAAGAUACAGAAGGAAAAAGAACAA
Long non-coding RNA from Saccostrea cuccullata (small rock oyster), 465 nucleotides. RefSeq lists it as uncharacterized. NCBI's taxonomy places the organism in Eukaryota, Metazoa, Mollusca, Bivalvia, Ostreida, Ostreidae. The record is from RefSeq and is a predicted model, not a curated record. The transcript has 3 exons.